AUUAAAUUGUGAGGAAUUUCAGAGUUGUGUCGUACCACUAAAUUAUCAUACACAUUUCAAACAAAUGACAUCUAAAUGACAAACGAAAAGAAGAAAUGCGUAAAUGCUGACUUUGCCGAAAGGAGGAUGGGCCAUUUUUUUCUAUCCCUAAGGACGAAGCAAGUCAAAGGCACCACCUUUGCUGUAGCCAGGCCAACCACCCAAUGGUCCAAUGUCUUAUACGACCAGGCAAACUUUUGCGCCACCUUCUAGUUUGAUAUAGCAGUCAUAUGAACAUAUCCUCCGAUUUAACUUCAAAGAGCCCAGGUGGUUGCAAACGAUAUUCCUUUCUUGUAAAAAAUUUGACAAAUGUAAACCAUUGUGCAGGGUCUUGACGAGUCAUCAAGAUCGGAUUAUAGACCAUUCUCCAAAUUUUAA
Stomoxys calcitrans (stable fly) is the source of this 417-nucleotide long non-coding RNA. RefSeq lists it as uncharacterized. Lineage: Eukaryota; Metazoa; Arthropoda; Insecta; Diptera; Muscidae. The transcript has 2 exons. The record is from RefSeq and is a predicted model, not a curated record.